Long non-coding RNA from Scleropages formosus (Asian bonytongue), 1873 nucleotides. The record is from Ensembl. Lineage: Eukaryota; Metazoa; Chordata; Actinopteri; Osteoglossiformes; Osteoglossidae.
CGCCGUGCUUUUCCAUGCGGUGGCAUUGGUAUACUGUUUAUUAAUUACUCAUACGGGGGGGGGGAGUCUGGAGCCCGUCAACGAAGUGAUCAGUUCGCUACCUAGAAUUCCAUUUUAGGGAGGGUCGAGGAUUGUCUGGUUUUGGGCGCAAGGCGAUGAGCGAUUGGAACUCAGUCCUGUGGUCAGUGGUGUCACGCAGACAUCCGUCUCUGCGCGCUUCUGUCGGGAUAACGCAGCUGACACGCGCGGAUGCUCCGGCAAAUGAAAAGAAAACGGGCUCCGAAACUUUCCAGGAUUUUCCCAAUGCGUUGGGGAGACACAUCAUCAUGAUGACCGUGUAUUUCAGCCGUUCUGAUGCAACGGGCCGUGCUCCGCCUUGUUGGACACAAUAAUAUAAGAACGCUCUUCUCCUUCUAAAGGACGUCGUGUUGCAAUCUCGAUCACGGGAUCAGAGGAUUACCGAAGUGGGAGACCGCGUUAACAUCAACUUCAGGACUGCUGGUAAGGCAGGCGGGGCGGGGGGGGAGGAGGCUGCAAUGUGGCCGCGUAGUGACCCAACUCCAGCAGCCACCAGCGAGUGUCCGCGCCGCGCUCCUCUCUCUCCCGUGCUGGACAGAACCCUCUCCCUGAGCCCGAGGCGACGGGUACGAGAUGUGCCGAGCAUGCUUCACAUCCCCAGUGACUCGUGGUGGUGGACCGGCCUUCCUGCGGGACCGGUAUGAGCCCGACACUGAGGCUGGGAAAGAGGAGCUGGUGACUCAGGCCCGGCCCUGGGCCAGGGUUUGGGGAAGGGAAUGCGGGGAAUUACCCAUUGUGGAAGCUCAUAUUGCCACGGACAGGAAGCAAUGCUUGCCUGCAUCCCUUGGUACUGUUGUUCUCACUACAAUUCCCUUAAGUAGCUUUCCUCAUGCUACUGUUACUCUCACUACAUUUUGUGUCACAAGUGUUACUCCCUGUACCUUUCCUCUCAGUAUUGCGACCCCCUGUACAGUUGCUCUCGUUGUUGUUCCCCUCUGUCCCAUUUCUCUUUACCCUAACUACCAUAGUCCUCUCAGCAGCGUUACCUCAUUACCAUAUUCCUGUCAGCAGCGUUACCCUCAUUACCAUAUUCCUGUCAGCAGCGUUACCUCACUACCAUAUUCCUGUCAGCAGCAUUACCUCACUACCAUAUUCCUGUCAGCAGCGUUACCUCACUACCAUAUUCCUGUCAACAGCAUUACCUCACUACCAUAUUCCUCAGGAGUGUUACCUCACUACCAUAUUCCUGUCAGCAGCAUUACCUCACUACCAUAUUCCUGUCAGCAGUGUUACCUCACUACCAUAUUCCUCAGGAGUGUUACCUCACUACCAUAUUUCUGUCAGCAGCAUUACCUCACUACCAUAUUCCUGUCAGCAGUGUUACCUCACUACCAUAUUCCUGUCAGCAGUGUUACCUCACUACCAUAUUCCUGUCAGCAGCAUUACCUCACUACCAUAUUCCUCAGGAGCGUUACCUCACUACCAUAUUCCUGUCAGCAGCGUUACCUCACUACCAUAUUCCUCAGCAGCGUUACCUCACUACCAUAUUCCAGUCAGCAGCGUUAUUUCGCUACCAUAUUCCUCAGCAGUGUUACCUCACUACCAUAUUCCUGUCAGCAGCAUUACCUCACUACCAUAUUCCUGUCAGCAGCGUUACCUCACUACCAUAUUCCUGUCAACAGCAUUACCUCACUACCAUAUUCCUCAGGAGUGUUACCUCACUACCAUAUUCCUGUCAGCAGCAUUACCUCACUACCAUAUUCCUGUCAGCAGUGUUACCUCACUACCAUAUUCCUGUCAGCAGCGCUACCUCACUACCAUAUCUCUGUCAGCAGCAUUACCUCACUACCAUAUU